GAGAACGCUGACGGAAUGCUUAACACGGGCAAGUCUACUUGAACUUCGGUUUGGGUGGCGGACGGGUGAGUAACGCGUAAAGAACUUGCCUCACAGUUAGGGACAACAUUUUAAACUAAGGCUAAUACCUGAUAUUAUGAUUUUAGGGCAUCCUAAGAUAUGAGAGCUAUUGCGCUUUGAGAGAGCUUUGCUUUCCAUUAGCUUUUAGGAUUGGUUACGUCUCUCGUGGCGAUGAUUGGUAUCCGUUCUGUGUGGGUGUUAUCCUCAAGGUGACUGAGACUGUGUGCUUCUCGUGUUGUGGUAUGUUGGGUGUUUUUUUGAUUGAUCUAGAGGUUUGUCUAUUGUACCGUGGUAUAUUGCGUUGCGUAAUUAUGUUUCUGUUUGUGUGGUUUUGAAUGUUUUGCUUGUGUUUGUUUGGUUAUAGGUUCGUUAUGUUGGAUUGUUUAUUUGAGUUGCUUUGAUUUAUUGGGGAUUGUUGUGUGUUUUUUAUUAUUUAUUGUAUGUGUGGGUUGAUUUGUUUGUUUGUGGGGAUUGUGUUGUCUGUGUUUGCUUAUGUUGGUUUUUUUUUUGGUUUGUGGUGUGUUUGGGGUUGUUUGGUUUGGUUUGUGAGUUGGUUUUGGUUGAUUGUGUUGUGGGUUUGUUGUUUUUGUUUUUUUGUUUCUUGUUGUG
Molecule: ribosomal RNA, 669 nt
Filed under: uncultured Staphylococcus sp.
Lineage: Bacteria; Bacillati; Bacillota; Bacilli; Caryophanales; Staphylococcaceae
Description: partial 16S ribosomal RNA
Rfam family: Bacterial small subunit ribosomal RNA (bases 20-301)
Source: RNAcentral